UUAAGCGACUAAGCGUACACGGUGGAUGCCCUGGCAGUCAGAGGCGAUGAAGGGCGUGCUAAUCUGCGAUAAGCGCCGGUAAGGUGAUAUGAACCGUUAUAACCGGCGAUACCCGAAUGGGGAAACCCAGUGUGACUCGUCACACUAUCAUUAACUGAAUCCAUAGGUUAAUGAGGCGAACCGGGGGAACUGAAACAUCUAAGUACCCCGAGGAAAAGAAAUCAACCGAGAUUCCCCCAGUAGCGGCGAGCGAACGGGGAGGAGCCCAGAGCCUGAAUCAGCAUGUGUGUUAGUGGAAGCGUCUGGAAAGGCGCGCGAUACAGGGUGACAGCCCCGUACACAAAAGCGCAUGUGCUGUGAGCUCGAUGAGUAGGGCGGGACACGUGGUAUCCUGUCUGAAUAUGGGGGGACCAUCCUCCAAGGCUAAAUACUCCUGACUGACCGAUAGUGAACCAGUACCGUGAGGGAAAGGCGAAAAGAACCCCGGCGAGGGGAGUGAAAAAGAACCUGAAACCGUGUACGUACAAGCAGUGGGAGCACCCUUCGGGGUGUGACUGCGUACCUUUUGUAUAAUGGGUCAGCGACUUAUAUUCUGUAGCAAGGUUAACCGUAUAGGGGAGCCGUAGGGAAACCGAGUCUUAACCGGGCGUUAAGUUGCAGGGUAUAGACCCGAAACCCGGUGAUCUAGCCAUGGGCAGGUUGAAGGUUGGGUAACACUAACUGGAGGACCGAACCGACUAAUGUUGAAAAAUUAGCGGAUGACCUGUGGCUGGGGGUGAAAGGCCAAUCAAACCGGGAGAUAGCUGGUUCUCCCCGAAAGCUAUUUAGGUAGCGCCUCGUGAAUUCAUCUCCGGGGGUAGAGCACUGUUUCGGCUAGGGGGCCAUCCCGGCUUACCAACCCGAUGCAAACUGCGAAUACCGGAGAAUGUUAUCACGGGAGACACACGGCGGGUGCUAACGUCCGUCGUGAAGAGGGAAACAACCCAGACCGCCAGCUAAGGUCCCAAAGUCAUGGUUAAGUGGGAAACGAUGUGGGAAGGCCCAGACAGCCAGGAUGUUGGCUUAGAAGCAGCCAUCAUUUAAAGAAAGCGUAAUAGCUCACUGGUCGAGUCGGCCUGCGCGGAAGAUGUAACGGGGCUAAACCAUGCACCGAAGCUGCGGCAGCGAACGUAUCACCCAAGACAACUUUGCGGAGUUGACGAUUGACGGAGCGAAGCGACGUCAAAGCGUUCAUUAAAGUCGAGUUGGCUUAGGGAUACGUUCGUUGGGUAGGGGAGCGUUCUGUAAGCCUGUGAAGGUGGCCUGUGAGGGUUGCUGGAGGUAUCAGAAGUGCGAAUGCUGACAUAAGUAACGAUAAAGCGGGUGAAAAGCCCGCUCGCCGGAAGACCAAGGGUUCCUGUCCAACGUUAAUCGGGGCAGGGUGAGUCGACCCCUAAGGCGAGGCCGAAAGGCGUAGUCGAUGGGAAACGGGUUAAUAUUCCCGUACUUGGUGUUACUGCGAAGGGGGGACGGAGAAGGCUAUGUUGGCCGGGCGACGGUUGUCCCGGUUUAAGCGUGUAGGUGUGUGUUCCAGGUAAAUCCGGUUCACUUUAACACUGAGGCGUGAUGACGAGGCACUACGGUGCUGAAGCAACAAAUGCCCUGCUUCCAGGAAAAGCCUCUAAGCAUCAGGUAACAUCAAAUCGUACCCCAAACCGACACAGGUGGUCAGGUAGAGAAUACCAAGGCGCUUGAGAGAACUCGGGUGAAGGAACUAGGCAAAAUGGUGCCGUAACUUCGGGAGAAGGCACGCUGACACGUAGGUGAAGUGAUUUACUCAUGGAGCUGAAGUCAGUCGAAGAUACCAGCUGGCUGCAACUGUUUAUUAAAAACACAGCACUGUGCAAACACGAAAGUGGACGUAUACGGUGUGACGCCUGCCCGGUGCCGGAAGGUUAAUUGAUGGGGUCAGCGCAAGCGAAGCUCCUGAUCGAAGCCCCGGUAAACGGCGGCCGUAACUAUAACGGUCCUAAGGUAGCGAAAUUCCUUGUCGGGUAAGUUCCGACCUGCACGAAUGGCGUAAUGAUGGCCAGGCUGUCUCCACCCGAGACUCAGUGAAAUUGAACUCGCUGUGAAGAUGCAGUGUACCCGCGGCAAGACGGAAAGACCCCGUGAACCUUUACUAUAGCUUGACACUGAACAUUGAGCCUUGAUGUGUAGGAUAGGUGGGAGGCUUUGAAGCGUGGACGCCAGUCUGCGUGGAGCCGACCUUGAAAUACCACCCUUUAAUGUUUGAUGUUCUAACGUGGACCCGUAAUCCGGGUUGCGGACAGUGUCUGGUGGGUAGUUUGACUGGGGCGGUCUCCUCCUAAAGAGUAACGGAGGAGCACGAAGGUUGGCUAAUCCUGGUCGGACAUCAGGAGGUUAGUGCAAUGGCAUAAGCCAGCUUGACUGCGAGCGUGACGGCGCGAGCAGGUGCGAAAGCAGGUCAUAGUGAUCCGGUGGUUCUGAAUGGAAGGGCCAUCGCUCAACGGAUAAAAGGUACUCCGGGGAUAACAGGCUGAUACCGCCCAAGAGUUCAUAUCGACGGCGGUGUUUGGCACCUCGAUGUCGGCUCAUCACAUCCUGGGGCUGAAGUAGGUCCCAAGGGUAUGGCUGUUCGCCAUUUAAAGUGGUACGCGAGCUGGGUUUAGAACGUCGUGAGACAGUUCGGUCCCUAUCUGCCGUGGGCGCUGGAGAACUGAGGGGGGCUGCUCCUAGUACGAGAGGACCGGAGUGGACGCAUCACUGGUGUUCGGGUUGUCAUGCCAAUGGCACUGCCCGGUAGCUAAAUGCGGAAGAGAUAAGUGCUGAAAGCAUCUAAGCACGAAACUUGCCCCGAGAUGAGUUCUCCCUGAGACUUUAGGUCUCCUGAAGGAACGUUGAAGACGACGACGUUGAUAGGCCGGGUGUGUAAGCGCAGCGAUGCGUUGAGCUAACCGGUACUAAUGAACCGUGAGGCUUAACCUU
RNAcentral lists this ribosomal RNA (2988 nucleotides) under Salmonella enterica. RNAcentral's name for it is "bacterial LSU rRNA". It matches the Rfam family "Bacterial large subunit ribosomal RNA". The record is from RNAcentral. Lineage: Bacteria; Pseudomonadati; Pseudomonadota; Gammaproteobacteria; Enterobacterales; Enterobacteriaceae.